GGUAACUGUAGAAGGCAUGUGCGUAAGCCAGUGACAGAGCUGGGAUUGAGGCCUCAUGAGCGCUGAGGAAGCUCAGAAAACUACUCAGCUACAAAUCUUACAAAUCUUAAGAAAAAAUGUGGAUGACUCAGAAAGUAGAACUAACAUUCCAGAGGACAGACCCCGAAGAUAUGGAGACUUAUUUUGAUAAGAACAAGCAAAGCUCUCCCACACUGCUAAACAGUUCCAGAACAAUCUCCCUUGCGGUCACUCACAAAUUCCCAUAAAGUGUUAGCAGCUCUGGAACCUGAACUCAGGAGGAAUGGCAAUCCAGAAGAAAAAACAGCUGGG
Otolemur garnettii (small-eared galago) is the source of this 330-nucleotide long non-coding RNA. RefSeq lists it as uncharacterized. The record is from RefSeq and is a predicted model, not a curated record. The transcript has 4 exons. NCBI's taxonomy places the organism in Eukaryota, Metazoa, Chordata, Mammalia, Primates, Galagidae.